AAAAAGACAAACCCUGGGUUUCCGUGUCCAACUUUAACUGUCCGUCUUAUAAGAAAUUUUUUUAUAAUUCGUAUUUUCAUUGUUGUUAGAUGAUAAAACAUGAUUAAUAUUUUAUGCGUGACUUGUCUUUUUAAUUGUUUUUAUAUUUUUUUCAAAUAAGACGGACGGUCAAAUGUUGGACACGGAAAUCAGGGUUUGUCUUUGU
This 205-nucleotide microRNA precursor is filed under the name Oryza glumipatula. RNAcentral describes it as "MIR812 microRNA precursor family". It matches the Rfam family "MIR812 microRNA precursor family". Lineage: Eukaryota; Viridiplantae; Streptophyta; Magnoliopsida; Poales; Poaceae. The record is from Rfam by way of RNAcentral.